UACGUAGGGUGCGAGCGUUAAUCGGAAUUACUGGGCGUAAAGCGUGCGCAGGCGGUUAUGCAAGACAGAUGUGAAAUCCCCGGGCUCAACCUGGGAACUGCAUUUGUGGCUGCAUGGCUGGAGUGCGGCAGAGGGGGGUGGAAUUCCACGUGUAGCAGUGAAAUGCGUAGAGAUGUGGAGGAACACCGAUGGCGAAGGCAGCCCCCUGGGCCGACACUGACGCUCAGGCACGAAAGCGUGGGGAGCAAACAGG
This 253-nucleotide ribosomal RNA is filed under the name uncultured bacterium. RNAcentral describes it as "partial 16S ribosomal RNA". It matches the Rfam family "Bacterial small subunit ribosomal RNA", at positions 524 to 776 of the family's 1533-position model. The record is from RNAcentral.